This 496-nucleotide ribosomal RNA is filed under the name Segatella oulorum. RNAcentral's name for it is "bacterial SSU rRNA". It matches the Rfam family "Bacterial small subunit ribosomal RNA", at positions 28 to 512 of the family's 1533-position model. Lineage: Bacteria; Pseudomonadati; Bacteroidota; Bacteroidia; Bacteroidales; Prevotellaceae. The record is from RNAcentral.
GAUGAACGCUAGCUACAGGCUUAACACAUGCAAGUCGAGGGGAAACGAUGAGAGAGCUUGCUCUCUUAGGCGUCGACCGGCGCACGGGUGAGUAACGCGUAUCCAACCUGCCCAUUACAGGGGAAUAACCUUGCGAAAGUAAGACUAAUGCCCCAUGGUAUUCUCAGCAGACAUCUAAUGAGGAUUAAAGAUUUAUCGGUAAUGGAUGGGGAUGCGUCUGAUUAGCUUGUUGGCGGGGUAACGGCCCACCAAGGCAACGAUCAGUAGGGGUUCUGAGAGGAAGGUCCCCCACAUUGGAACUGAGACACGGUCCAAACUCCUACGGGAGGCAGCAGUGAGGAAUAUUGGUCAAUGGGCGAGAGCCUGAACCAGCCAAGUAGCGUGCAGGAAGACGGCCCUAUGGGUUGUAAACUGCUUUUAUAGGGGAAUAAAGUGAUCUACGUGUAGUUUAUUGUAUGUACCCUAUGAAUAAGGACCGGGCUAAGUCGUAACAAGG